Molecule: small nucleolar RNA, 127 nt
Organism: Hemicordylus capensis (graceful crag lizard)
Lineage: Eukaryota; Metazoa; Chordata; Lepidosauria; Squamata; Cordylidae
Source: RefSeq, a predicted model, not a curated record
AAGCACAUUUCAUUGUCUUUUUCUUAAUACUGUAAGAACAAAGAUAUUUCUGAUGUGCAAUAAUAGCUGAAGGAAAAUUAGCAGUGUGGAAAACCUAUCCAUCACUGUCAGUCACCUUCAAACAAAA